This 429-nucleotide ribosomal RNA is filed under the name Bacteroidota bacterium. RNAcentral's name for it is "Bacteroidetes bacterium partial 16S ribosomal RNA". It matches the Rfam family "Bacterial small subunit ribosomal RNA", at positions 355 to 776 of the family's 1533-position model. Lineage: Bacteria; Pseudomonadati; Bacteroidota. The record is from RNAcentral.
UAGGGAAUCUUCGGCAAUGGGGGGAACCCUGACCGAGCAACGCCGCGUGAGUGAAGAAGGUUUUCGGAUCGUAAAGCUCUGUUGUUAAGGAAGAACGAGUGUGAGAAUGGAAAGUUCAUACUGUGACGGUACUUAACCAGAAAGGGACGGCUAACUACGUGCCAGCAGCCGCGGUAAUACGUAGGUCCCGAGCGUUGUCCGGAUUUAUUGGGCGUAAAGCGAGCGCAGGCGGUUAGAUAAGUCUGAAGUUAAAGGCAGUGGCUCAACCAUUGUAGGCUUUGGAAACUGUUUAACUUGAGUGCAGAAGGGGAGAGUGGAAUUCCAUGUGUAGCGGUAAAAUGCGUAGAUAUAUGGAGGAACACCGGUGGCGAAAGCUGCUCUCUGGUCUGUAACUGACGCUGAGGCUCGAAAGCGUGGGGAGCGAACAGG